This 497-nucleotide ribosomal RNA is filed under the name uncultured bacterium. RNAcentral's name for it is "partial 16S ribosomal RNA". It matches the Rfam family "Bacterial small subunit ribosomal RNA", at positions 28 to 507 of the family's 1533-position model. The record is from RNAcentral.
GAUGAACGCUGGCGGCGUGCCUAAUACAUGCAAGUCGAGCGAACGGACGAGAAGCUUGCUUUUCUGAUGUUAGCGGCGGACGGGUGAGUAACACGUGGAUAACCUACCUAUAAGACUGGGAUAACUUCGGGAAACCGGAGCUAAUACCGGAUAAUAUUUUGAACCGCAUGGUUCAAAAGUGAAAGACGGUCUUGCUGUCACUUAUAGAUGGAUCCGCGCUGCAUUAGCUAGUUGGUAAGGUAACGGCUUACCAAGGCAACGAUGCAUAGCCGACCUGAGAGGGUGAUCGGCCACACUGGAACUGAGACACGGUCCAGACUCCUACGGGAGGCAGCAGUAGGGAAUCUUCCGCAAAGGGCGAAAGCCUGACGGAGCAACGCCGCGUGAGUGAUGAAGGUCUUCGGAUCGUAAAACUCUGUUAUUAGGGAAGAACAAAUGUGUAAGUAACUAUGCACGUCUUGACGGUACCUAAUCAGAAAGCCACGGCUAACUACGUG